GACGUAGGGGAUAAGCGUUGUUCGGAAUUAUUGGGCGUAAAGGGCAUGUAGGCGGUUUUGUAAGUCUGGUGUGAAAUGGUUGGGCUUAACCCAAUCCUGCAUUGGAAACUGCGAAACUAGAAUCACUGAGGGGGAAUCAGAAUUCCAGGUGUAGGGGUGAAAUCUGUAGAUAUCUGGAAGAAUACCAGUGGCGAAGGCGGAUUCCUGGCAGAUGAUUGACGCUGAGGUGCGAAGGUAUGGGGAGCAAACAGG
This 252-nucleotide ribosomal RNA is filed under the name uncultured bacterium. Its description in RNAcentral is "partial 16S ribosomal RNA". It matches the Rfam family "Bacterial small subunit ribosomal RNA", at positions 524 to 776 of the family's 1533-position model. The record is from RNAcentral.